RNAcentral lists this transfer RNA (76 nucleotides) under Candidatus Calditenuaceae archaeon HR02. It matches the Rfam family "tRNA". Rfam says of the family: Transfer RNA (tRNA) molecules are approximately 80 nucleotides in length. Their secondary structure includes four short double-helical elements and three loops (D, anti-codon, and T loops). Lineage: Archaea; Thermoproteati; Nitrososphaerota; Candidatus Caldarchaeales; Candidatus Calditenuaceae. The record is from Rfam by way of RNAcentral.
GCGGCCGUCGUCUAGCCUGGACUAGGACGCUGGGUUUCCAACCCAGCGAUCGCGGGUUCAAAUCCCGCCGGCCGCA